CUCCCACCUCCCCUGCCAGUACUUCCUGGGAUCACUUUCCAGAUAAAUGUCUGGCAUUUGAAUCCGAGGCUUGGGUCUGCUUGCAAGGAAACCCCAACUAAGACAACACCUAAUGUGCAACGUGUGUCGAGCGCUUUAUGCCAAGCUCUGUGUUCAACACUUCACACGGCUUGACUCAUUCCAUCCUAUGACAGGCAGGGCUCUGAGGUAGGGACCGUUAUUGUCUCCAUUUCGCGGAUGCAGAAACUGACUCAGAGCUGGGGCUUGAAGCCAAUCGACUCCUCCCUGACCCCAUCCUCCAGCUGGCCUGAAUUGCUUUCAGUUCCUCAAACUGCUCUGCUCACUCUCCUCCUUCCCUCUGCCUUCUGAGGCACAGGGAAGAUAAGUCACUUGGUCACAGCAAGUUAGAACCACUUGGACUCAAGAGGAGACCUCCAGGCUGGAAGCCCUUACACUUCACCCUUGUGCAUGGGAUGAAGAUUUUCUGGAUACUGACGUGAUGAUGAACAUGAUGACAGCUACCGCUCCCUGAUCACCUGCUGUGCUCAGUCCUCAUUACCUACCCGAUUUUUACACACAGAACCAGACUGAGACAUAGAAGUGCUCCUGCUGCUGCUGCUGCUAAGUCGCUUCAGUUGUGUCCGACUCUGUGUGACCCCAUAGACGGCAGCCCACCAGGCUCCCCCGUCCCUGGGAUUCUCCAAGCAAGAACACUGGAGUGGGUUGCCAUUUCCUUCUCCAAUGCAGGAAAGUGAAAAGUGAAAGUGAAGUCUCUCAGUUGUGUCUGACUCUUCACAACCCCAUGGACUGCAGCCUAGCAGGCUCCUCCAUCCAUGGGAUUUUCCAGGCAAGAGUACUGGAGUGGGGUGCCAUUGCCUUCUCCAAGAAGUGCUCCAGGCAGGCUAAUAAUCUGGGAUCCCCUCAACUUGAUAUUUUAAAAAGUGUUUCAGAGUGGUUCAAGGAUGUGGAGAAACUGACAUUUCUGUUCAUAAAAUAGAUAAUUUCUUUUUUUAGAAACAAAAAAUUUUAUUACAUAUACAGAAUAAACUGUUGUCUUUUCCUUGGAAUUUUCCUGAAAUUGCAGUUGUCCAGGCAGUUUUCUGGGAGCUAAAGGGCAUAUGGUUCAGGUGACGAGUGUUGUGUGCUCAGCCGUGUCUGACUCUUUGCCACCCCAUGGACUGCAGCCCGUCAGGCACCUCUGUCCAUGGGCUUCUCCAGGCAAGAAUACUGGAGUGGGUUGUCAUUCCCUUCUCCAGUGGAUCUUCCCGACCCAGGGAUUGAACCCUCCUGUGGCUCCGGCACUGGCAGGUGGUUCUUUACCACUGAGCCACCUGGGAAGCCCAAGAUUCAGGUGAUGAAUAAACAAACCAGCAUGCAGCUCUGACCGGGACCAAGCUGACAGACCAAGGCUCUGAGAGAGCCGUCGCCUAGCUGGACUCUGGCGUGGUGGUGCCAAGGACGGGAAUGUUCUAGUUUCCUCCAGAGGAGGCUAUUUCCCUCUGAGCGUCGGUUAAGUCUCAGUGAGCGUGAACACUCAAGUUAACCAGCACUGUGUUUUGAUCUAGACCAGUGCUAUUUGGGUUCCCCUUCUAGUCUUGCACCCUAAUAGGCUGCCUGGCUGAUCAGUUCUGUGCAUAUAUUCACAUGUAUUAGUUCUACCUUCAUUUAAAAAAAAAUGUGUACACAAAUUGAAUCAUAUAAAGUCACAUUGAUCUGUAACUUGCUUUUCUUUUUCCCCACAUUACAAUAAAUUCUGAGAUCCUUUCACAUCAGCCUAUGUGUAGAUCCAUCACAUUCUUGUGUUAAAAAAAAAGAAAAAAGUACCAAGGUGGUCCACCAGAUGGAUGUACUGUAAUGUGGGACUUAGCAACUUUAAUGAGCACAUGAAUUGCCUCGGGGACCUUGUUAAAUUGCAGCUUCAGAUUCGGCAGGUCCAAGGUGGCACCUGGUGCCGUGGGAGCUGCUGGCAGGAUCACACCACGUGACCUCUACCCACAAGCGAGGGACACUUGGCUGUUAGAGACAGUGUGCUGCAGGAAACAGGCUUGACUAUCUGAAAGGAGUCCUAGAGAACAGG
Molecule: long non-coding RNA, 2077 nt
Organism: Bos taurus (domestic cattle)
Lineage: Eukaryota; Metazoa; Chordata; Mammalia; Artiodactyla; Bovidae
Source: Ensembl